Long non-coding RNA from Etheostoma spectabile (orangethroat darter), 65 nucleotides. RefSeq lists it as uncharacterized. Lineage: Eukaryota; Metazoa; Chordata; Actinopteri; Perciformes; Percidae. The record is from RefSeq and is a predicted model, not a curated record. The transcript has 3 exons.
UAUUUAACAAAGGGGCCUGAAAAUGAAAAUUGAGUGGAAGUAUGUAGGAGGGCAGAGCCAGGCUA